RNAcentral lists this ribosomal RNA (253 nucleotides) under uncultured bacterium. RNAcentral describes it as "partial 16S ribosomal RNA". It matches the Rfam family "Bacterial small subunit ribosomal RNA", at positions 524 to 776 of the family's 1533-position model. The record is from RNAcentral.
AACGUAGGUGGCAAGCGUUAUCCGGAUUUACUGGGCGUAAAGCGUGUGCAGGCGGGUGGGCAAGUGGGGUGUGAAAUCGCCAGGCUAAACCUGGCGGGGUUAUGCCAGACUGUCCGUCUGGAGUGCGAGAGAGGGGCGUGGAAUUCCGGGUGUAGUGGUGAAAUGCGCAGAUAUCAGGAGGAACACCAAUUGCGAAGGCAGCUCGCUGGGACGUUACUGACGCUGAGACGCGAAAGCGUGGGGAGCAAACAGG